GAGCGGUCGCAGCUAUACGGCAGCGGCAGACGGGAGAGUAACCGUGGGAACGUACCCUUCGGUUCGGAAUAACCCAGGGUAAACUUGGACUAAUACCGGAUACGUCCGAAAGGAGAAAGAUUUAUCGCCGAAGGAUCGGCCCGCGUACGAUUAGCUAGUUGGUGGGGUAAUGGCCCACCAAGGCGACGAUCGGUAGCUGGUCUGAGAGGAUGAUCAGCCUCACUGGGACUGAGACACGGCCCAUACUCCUACGGGAGGCAGCAGUGGGGAAUAUUGGACAAUGGGCGCAAGCCUGAUCCAGCCAUGCCGCGUGGGUGAUGAAGGCCCUACGGUUGUAAAGCCCUUUCGGCGGGGAAGAUAAUGACGGUACCCGCAGAAGAAGCCCCGGCUAACUUCGUGCCAGCAGCCGCGGUAAU
Molecule: ribosomal RNA, 416 nt
Filed under: uncultured bacterium
Lineage: Bacteria
Description: bacterial SSU rRNA
Rfam family: Bacterial small subunit ribosomal RNA
Source: RNAcentral